CAAGACAACCAGGAAGUUGGCUUAGAAGCAGCCACCUUUUAAAGAAAGCGUAACAGCUCACUGGUCAAGCGUUCCUGCGCGGAAAAUGUAACGGGGCUUAAGUGUUGCACCGAAGCUGCGGGCUCGAAAGAGCGGUAGCGGAGCGUUCUGUAAGUCUGUGAAGGAAGAUCGCGAGGUCUUCUGGAGAUAUCAGAAGUGAGAAUGCUGACAUGAGUAGCGAUAAAGAGGGUGAGAGACCCUCUCGCCGAAAGACCAAGGGUUCCUGCGUAAAGCUAAUCUGCGCAGGGUUAGCCGGCCCCUAAGGCGAGGCAGAAAUGCGUAGUCGAUGGGAACCAGGUCAAUAUUCCUGGGCCGGGAGGUGGUGACGAAUUCCGUAUAUGGUUAGUCCUUAUUGGAUUGGACUAGCUGAGAAGGAGUUCCAGGAAAUAGCCCCUCCAUAACGACCGUACCCUAAACCGACACAGGUGGACAGGUAGAGUA
This 480-nucleotide ribosomal RNA is filed under the name Isochrysis galbana. RNAcentral describes it as "partial Bacterial large subunit ribosomal RNA". It matches the Rfam family "Bacterial large subunit ribosomal RNA", at positions 1085 to 1678 of the family's 2925-position model. Lineage: Eukaryota; Haptophyta; Isochrysidales; Isochrysidaceae. The record is from RNAcentral.